Molecule: long non-coding RNA, 1377 nt
Filed under: Struthio camelus australis
Lineage: Eukaryota; Metazoa; Chordata; Aves; Struthioniformes; Struthionidae
Description: lncRNA (ENSSCUG00000002539.1)
Source: RNAcentral
CCGCACUCCGCUCGCCCCCCGCGCCGCUCGCUACCUGCGCGCACAGCCGGAGCGUGGGCCGGGCACUCACCUCGGCUCCUCUCUCUGCAUAUGUUAAUGCAGUUCUAUAGGGGAGCGCGGUUCACGUGUGCUAAUUAAAAGCAAUAGAGAGAAAGGGCUUCCUUGCGGGAGCCAGGAGUCCCCGGCACUACUCGUAAACGAGCAACUGCACACUGCUCUGUAGUCCCACCGCUAUUCAUAAAAAUGUGUAGAAAAUGUACUUUCCUAAUGAAUUGUUGCUAUAUAUGGUAAGGUAAGAGCUAACCUAAUGGAUGAUAGUGUCUGUUUCCGUUUUUUUUUUUUUUAUGUUUUACGUGUAGCCAUCUGACCACUUUUUAUUGGGUGACAUAUCAUAUGAGCACUUUGGUGUAGGGCUUGUAAAACUGGAGCUAGAGGUAGCGCUGGAAAUACCGUAAGAACGCCAAAGAAUUAAAGUAUACGUGUCGUGAAAUAGGUACUGAAUAAUACAGACCCGGGCAUGACACUCUACUCUUUAUUGGAAAAAAAUAUAUGCCCGACAGUCUUUGGGGAGGGCUAACUUUUGCCCUAUACGUUCCGGCAGAUUUAGACAACGCAGAAACGCCACAGGAAGCGACAAUCACGACAAGAAACGGUAAUUUUUAUUUUUCGUUCCAUACAAGUCAGACAAUAGAAAAUACAUUGCAUAAAAAUAUGAAUACAUGUUCCUUAAUAGCACACAGUGUAUCUACGUAUAAUUACUGAGCGUUCAGGGUUCUUUUUUGUUCUAGAUUUUGAAUUCUCGAUAGUCUGCCUUUUCAUAUUUUGUAGUUUGGAUAUGUAUUAGAUGCCCCUUUUCAUACCAUGUGCUCAACAUAACAGAAAUGUAAUCUGCACUUGCCUGUAAAAUGAAAUUGUGGUCACAAAAGAAAUGAUAAGACACUCUCAUUAGGAGGCAAGCCGGUCAAGGGACCUACCUGGCUGAAAGGAAAGGGAUAUUAUGCAGGAAAUGCUGGCCCGGAUUGUACUGGCAUACCGUGGUUUACAUUUGUGUGAAUUAUAUUCUAAUUUAAUAUGAAAAGAGGAUUCGUCUAAUGUUUUACACUCCUUCUGUACUUCAGAGCAGUUUAAAUAGGGUUUCUCUGUGUAUUCCAUACAGAAGGUGGGGAUAUUGGCAUUAGAACAAGACUCUGACUGUAAUAAUUAGAGAAUCAUAAGCAUUCCUCUUUAAAGUAAAUAGAGACUGUUUAUUCUUAAGAAAUCCACGCAGGAUGUUUCUCCUUUACGUCACAGCCAUCUGGAGACCUAUAAAAAGAUUAGAAAACAAGCAUGGCAAUCACAUACUAAUCUACAGGCCAUUAAUGGGAAUUUAUAAGGGAG